Molecule: long non-coding RNA, 319 nt
Filed under: Nicotiana benthamiana
Lineage: Eukaryota; Viridiplantae; Streptophyta; Magnoliopsida; Solanales; Solanaceae
Description: long non-coding RNA (NBEN_LNC004492)
Source: RNAcentral
AUUAAUCAAGAUUCUGGUAUGUUUAAUCCUCCACUUCCUCAUUUCAAGACUCAAGCAAUUUCAAGGCUUGGUUUUGGUGUUGUAAACAAGCUAUUCUUGAAACUAAAUCCAACCCAUGAUCAAGAAUAUGGCAUAAAAUUUCCUUAUCUGCAGAUGGUUUUCCAUCAAACAAAACCAAACCCAAAAAUCCCUCUAAAUCCAACCCAUGAUCAAGAAUAUGGCGUAAAAUUUCCUUAUCUGCAGAUGGUUUUCCAUCAAACAAAACCAAACCCAAAAAUCCCUAUGUGGAUGAGGAGGACAGCUAAUUUAUGUCCAAUCU